CCCGCGCCGUAUUAGCUAGUUGGUGGGGUAACGGCCUACCAAGGCGACGAUACGUAGCCGACCUGAGAGGGUGAUCGGCCACACUGGAACUGAGACACGGUCCAGACUCCUACGGGAGGCAGCAGUAGGGAAUCUUCCGCAAUGGGCGAAAGCCUGACGGAGCAACGCCGCGUGAGUGAUGAAGGUCUUCGGAUCGUAAAGCUCUGUUGUUAGGGAAGAACAAAUGUGUAAGUAACUGUGCACAUCUUGACGGUACCUAACCAGAAAGCCACGGCUAACUACGUGCCAGCAGCCGCGGUAAUACGUAGGUGGCAAGCGUUAUCCGGAAUUAUUGGGCGUAAAGCGCGCGUAGGCGGUUUUUUAAGUCUGAUGUGAAAGCCCACGGCUCAACC
This 392-nucleotide ribosomal RNA is filed under the name Staphylococcus pseudintermedius. RNAcentral's name for it is "bacterial SSU rRNA". It matches the Rfam family "Bacterial small subunit ribosomal RNA", at positions 230 to 614 of the family's 1533-position model. The record is from RNAcentral. Lineage: Bacteria; Bacillati; Bacillota; Bacilli; Caryophanales; Staphylococcaceae.